This 1127-nucleotide long non-coding RNA is filed under the name Equus asinus (donkey). RNAcentral describes it as "lncRNA (ENSEASG00005034618.1)". Lineage: Eukaryota; Metazoa; Chordata; Mammalia; Perissodactyla; Equidae. The record is from RNAcentral.
UGCGAACUUAACCGCUGCGCCACCAGGCCGUCCUGAAUCUGGAGCUUCUUAAGGGCACAGACUGUGGUUCUGCAUCCAACCAUCCAGGCCUCCCUCUGGCGCCCUGCGCAUCCUUGGGGGGAUUGAUGAUCACUCUCUGGUACUAAUGAAUUGGAUGGGGGCAGCCACGUGCAGAAGAGAAGGACAGGAAGAAUGUCAGGAAGCAGGAAAAGCAUGAGACAAUGAAGAGGGAAGAGGAUUAAGAGGCAGAGAAGGAGAAGUGAAAUGGAAGUGGAGGAAGCUGGGCCUGGAAGAGAAGGGGAUAAGUCCAUGAAGAGUAUUAAAAGGAUGCAGUCAUUCAGUCAGUCAACAAACGUUUAUUGUGCACCUACUAUAUAUUAAGCAACGUGCUGGAAGUGAAAGGCGCAGUGGUGCAUGAGACAAACAUGGGGCUUUUCGAGUUGCAGAAUGUGUAGCUUCGUAAAUUAGAAAUGGUGAGAAAGUGACAACUUAAAGAGGCUGAAAGCAGCUGGAAACAAGGGAAAUAUCGAGAGAGAGAGAACCUGCCCCCAGACACACCCGGGGAAGAGAUGUCUCCCUGGUUGAUGUUGAGACACAGCUGGAACCACCUGUCCCCACUGGCUCCACAGACCGAGGCAGGUAGGGUGGGUAGGGGAGAAAUUCAGGAAGGGGAGGGACCGGAGUGGGUGGGGGUGGAGUUUUCCUUGGGUACCCCCAGUGGGAAGACACCUCUGGGCUAGUGAGUGGUUCUCAACAUUUGGCUGCUUAUGGGAAUCACCUGAGAAAAUUCUUAAUCCCGUCACCGGGGUCCCAUCCCCUGAGAUUCUGAUUUCCUUGGCCUGGGAUGGGACCCAGACUCCAGAAUUUAUUGAAAGCUCUCUGGUGAGGCUAGAGUGCAGUCAGGGAGAAAGCGGGCAUCCGAGGCGGGCUGCCCGGCCUCUUUCCUCUCUGUUGAGGACGGGGUCAUCUUGAAGGAAGAGAUCUGUGGAAGAGAUGUUGUGAGGCGGUCUGGUGGAGUUGUAAACGACAAAAGCAUAAGGAGGUCCCCUCCUUAGAAAGUGCCCCCUUCCUUGGCGGUGCUGAGAGAGGAGCAAGACAGCCUGGAAAUAAAGAAAAAACAGGAAAAC